Long non-coding RNA from Nyctereutes procyonoides (raccoon dog), 629 nucleotides. RefSeq lists it as uncharacterized. The record is from RefSeq and is a predicted model, not a curated record. The transcript is spliced from 3 exons. NCBI's taxonomy places the organism in Eukaryota, Metazoa, Chordata, Mammalia, Carnivora, Canidae.
CGAGCCUGCUCUGGCCGCGGGGAACCGCAGGCUACUCUCCACAUCAUCCCGUCCGAGACUUUCCCUAGAGCCCUCUUCUGCGUCUCCAGUUUUUGAAAAGGAUCAAAGCAAGACCUGGACCUGAACCAGUUUCCCAAGGAGGGAGUGCCCAUUCAGGCUGAACGCAGAAACGGUGGUACCUACAAAUUCCUGUUGAAGAACACAGUAGAAGAUUUCUGUUUGCAGAUUGUUAUCAUGGUCGGUGUACUUCCGUUUUCAACAUUCUCAGACCUGUCAAGGGAAAGAAAUUUCUCAUCCCCGAGAAUCUCUCUAUUCUGCUAUAGGAAUUAACUGCCAGCUAUUCUGUGAACUAUAGUAGCCUGCCUACUUCUGUUUUACAUCGUGUGGAGCUGGUGUCACAUUAUUAAUUUUUUUAAUUGGAAUAUUCACAAGGAAGUUCUCUGCAAUGAGAUCCUGUACUGCUUAUUAAACAAUUGAUAAAUCAACUGCAACAACUCUCUGAGUAAAUAUUAACAGAACCCAUCUUAAUCCUUAUGUUCCCAUGCCCCCCAUCUCAUCUAGCGCAACACAGAAUUUGUAGUGUCUCGAAAAAUGCAUUUCAAACUUAUUAAAUUUACAUUUAUAUUAAG